Molecule: ribosomal RNA, 381 nt
Filed under: uncultured eukaryote
Lineage: Eukaryota
Description: partial 18S ribosomal RNA
Rfam family: Eukaryotic small subunit ribosomal RNA
Source: RNAcentral
CAAUAGCGUAUAUUAAAGCUGUUGCGGUUAAAAAGCUCGUAGUUGGAUUUCUGUCAAGGAUAACUGGUCCGCCCUCCGGGUGAGCACAUAGUUUGGUCUUGGCAUCUUGCUGGAAACUGUUGCUGCGCUUGGUUGUGUGGUGCAGCUUUCAGCACUUUCACUUUGAGGAAAUUGGAGUGUUUCAAGCAGGCACAUGCCUUUGGACACAGUAGCAUGGAAUAAUUAGAUUGGGCUUUUGCUCCAACUUGUUGGUUCCUGGAGCUGAGGUGAGAAUCAAUGGGGAUUGUUGGGGGCAUCCGAAUUUAGCCGUCAGAGGUGAAAUUCUUGGAUCUGCUAAAGACGGACAACUGCGAAAGCGUUUGCCCAGGAUGUUUUCAUUGA